GGCCUUCCUAAAACUUGCAAGUCGAGCGAGGCCUUCGGGGCCUAUCGGCGGACGGGUGAGUAACACGUGGCUUACCUGCCUGUAAGACCGGGAUAACUUCGGGAAACCGAAGCUAAUACCGGAUAAUUUCGAGCAUCGCAUGAUGCUUGAUGGAAAGACGGUUUCGGCUGUCACUUACAGAUGGACCCGCGUCGCAUUAGCUAGUUGGUGAGGUAAUGGCUCACCAAGGCGACGAUCCGUAGCUGGUCUGAGAGGAUGAUCAGCCACACUGGGACUGAGACACGGCCCAGACUCCUACGGGAGGCAGCAGUGGGGAAUAUUGGACAAUGGGCGAAAGCCUGAUCCAGCCAUGCCGCGUGAGUGACGAAGGCCUUAGGGUUGUAAAGCUCUUUUGGCGGGGACGAUAAUGACGGUACCCGCAGAAUAAGCCCCGGCUAACUUCGUGCCAGCAGCCGCGGUA
RNAcentral lists this ribosomal RNA (460 nucleotides) under uncultured Bacillus sp. RNAcentral describes it as "bacterial SSU rRNA". It matches the Rfam family "Bacterial small subunit ribosomal RNA", at positions 41 to 522 of the family's 1533-position model. Lineage: Bacteria; Bacillati; Bacillota; Bacilli; Caryophanales; Bacillaceae. The record is from RNAcentral.